UCCUAGGAAAAUAAAGAUGUUUUAAGAUAUAUAAUUAGGCGGUGCGGUGCAUUGAUAGUUGGUCAUCACACUACAACACAAUUAGAUUAUAGCGAUAUAUUUUUAAAAUAUUUUUUUGUAAGUGUCCCAUUUAUACCAAAAUUUUUAAAAAAUUCUAUUAAGGGGUAUAAAUAUAAAACUCAAUUCAACCAAAUAUAAAAUAUUACUCUACUUAUCCCAUUCUACCCAGCCUAUUUGUCCCGAUCACAAAUAGAAAAGAAAGAAAAAAAGAAGAAAAAUAGAUCACCAUCUUUCAUUCUCUACUCACUCAAUACAUUGAAAUCCUAGGCGAAGAGCCCCUCGCUCUCCUCCUCCUUCGCGCCACAGCCGACGAGAUAGAGUUCCGACGGUUGUUAAAUGCUUAAAUAAAUAUUGGUAAAUUAGCAGUAUUCUCUUUAAGUUAUACCAACACUCUUAAAGUGUUACUAUAUACCUAGUGAUUCUAUAUAUAACAAUAUUUUUAAAAAAUAUCGGUAAUUUAGCCAGUAGCACAUUUUUUGACUUAUACCAACAUUUAAAAGUGUCGCUAUAUAUCAUUUUUGUUGUAGUGUCGGAACAUAAUUUGCAAAGCUU
RNAcentral lists this long non-coding RNA (612 nucleotides) under Ananas comosus (pineapple). Its description in RNAcentral is "long non-coding RNA (ACOM_LNC004298)". Lineage: Eukaryota; Viridiplantae; Streptophyta; Magnoliopsida; Poales; Bromeliaceae. The record is from RNAcentral.